Molecule: ribosomal RNA, 461 nt
Filed under: uncultured bacterium
Lineage: Bacteria
Description: partial 16S ribosomal RNA
Rfam family: Bacterial small subunit ribosomal RNA
Source: RNAcentral
CCUACGGGUGGCUGCAGUGAGGAAUAUUGGUCAAUGGGCGGGAGCCUGAACCAGCCAAGUCGCGUGAGGGAAGACGGUCCUACGGAUUGUAAACCUCUUUUGCCGGGGAGCAACGGGGUCCUUGCGAGGGCCCGAUGAGAGUACCCGGAGAAAAAGCAUCGGCUAACUCCGUGCCAGCAGCCGCGGUAAUACGGAGGAUGCGAGCGUUAUCCGGAUUUAUUGGGUUUAAAGGGUGCGUAGGUUGUUUUUUAAGUCAGCGGUGAAAGUUUGUGGCUCAACCAUAAAAUUGCCGUUGAAACUGGAAGACUUGAGUGUGUUUGAGGUAGGCGGAAUGCGUGGUGUAGCGGUGAAAUGCAUAGAUAUCACGCAGAACUCCGAUUGCGAAGGCAGCUUACUAAGCCAUAACUGACACUGAAGCACGAAAGCGUGGGGAUCAAACAGGAUUAGAUACCCUAGUAGUC